UUGAGGUUUUUUUUUUCUUUUCUUUUUUUUUUUUUUGGUACAUUCUGGAUCUGAAUGCCCUGAGGAGCAGGUAGCAUUAAUAUCUUCUGUCAGUCUCCUAUUCUGUAGGCUCUCUCUUCACACUCCUUGUUUCUUUAGGGCAGCUCUGGUUUUGAAGCCUUAGUUUCAAAACUUUGAAAGGGUUAUAGGUGUACACAAACACAUCCCUGCCAUCCUUUGGGUGGCUAGAAUUCCAGGGCCAGGUAUCUCUAAGUUGCCUUGUCUGUUUACCCUCAUGGGCCACACAGUGUCAUUCACGUGUGUUACAGUGUGACGAUUAUGGAUACACUGUAGCUCUGGAGCCUGCAUCUCUGUGCAGCAUCAGACACUCUGGUCAGUAUUCCAGGCUUUUCAGACUGUGUGGUCUAUCACUGCUACUCCCCUCUGCCAUUGUAGCACAGAAGUGCCUCAGACGUGGUGGAUGUUGUGUUCAAUAAAACCAGAACAGGACCAUAUCUUCCAUCUUUUGCAUUAGACUGCAGAGAUGACAUACCCUUUGACUUAAUCGUAGUGGCAAACUAUCUUCCAAUCUGCUGCCUAGGCCUAUGUAUCUUUCUGUAGUGGCUUCCUGUGCGCUUCUCCUGUGUGAGCAUUAAGGAAGAGGAUGGUGGAGCCCCUCCAAGAAGGAACUUCAAUUUUGAGUGACAGGUGGGACACUGAAAGGGGAGUACAGUUGUGGUUAAAAAUUGAAAUAUAAUGCGGGGCUCAGAAAGGUUCGCAGUGAUAGCCCUCAGAGGAGUGAAGUGCUGAAAUGAUUGGGGAACGCUCUAGGGAGAAAGCAGCUCUAGAGGCUUAGAAGAGGCGGGACAGUUCCUUCAGGAAAUGAAUAGCUCAGAUGGUGGGUGAAGUUGUGUUAUGGAGGGAACUUGAAUGUCAUCACAUAUGCAUGGAGGCCAGCUUGGGAAGGAUCUGAGGUGCCACAGAGUGCAGGCAUUUUUCUCUGGGCAGUGAGCAGCCAGUGGAUGUUGUAUUCAAUGGGGUAAAGUCACAGAUGCAUUCAGAAAUAUCACUCUGGUCUUGGGAAAUCGCAUCUGUACAAAUUAUCUCUCUUAAGUUUAGUCUAGACUUUUUCACCAAGGGAUGGGUAACUCUUGGUCCUGGGGUUGGAAAGCAAAACCCAGAGAUUUGGAUGGUUUUUCUAGCCAUUGGCUUUAGUGGGUCAGUUGAGUGCCUCAUUUUUGUUUUUGAAAUGACAGAGCUUGACAAAUCUUCCACUUCAGGCUUUUUUGGCCUGUGAUCCUGAAGAUCAUUAGGAAGGGCAAAACAAAGUUUUAAAAACAUUUUGUCUGAAGUCUACCUUUGGUAUAGGGCCUUGGUGUGUGAUGGAAAAAUGAACAGAGACUAUGCCCCCUUGCUUUGGAAUCAAGUCACAGGGCACGGUAUUGCUGUGUGGAGCAGACUUGCUUCCCUUCUCUGUGUGCCAGGCUGGGGUGCCGCCUACAGGUGCUGGUCUGUACCCUCCAGGAGCCUGCAGAUUACUUAAGGCAGGUGGAAGCCGGUACCACUUAGGUACAUCACAGACUGCUCACGGCCAGGCCUCACAUUGUGUGGGGUGCGGGACUGCUGUGAAUCAGACCUGGCACAAGGGCCCACAAGGACUGCUCCAGGUAAACAUACUUCCUGCUCUGCAAAGUGUUUUUCCUUGGGGUUUCUAGGCAGGUUGAAAAGAGCUAUAUUCAUAGAUCUUCAGAGACCAUUGGUGACAGCCUAAGGCGCUGGGAGCUGCUUUCUCUCAGUGAGACUGUUAAUCUGUGAAGGAUUUGAAGGAAUCCUAGAGAAAACGUGCCUUGAGGCCUGUUGGCUGUGGUCUUUGGUCUUGUGCAGCGCUCUCUCUAGGAGGGGGCAUAAGUCUUGGAUUUUGCUCUUGUCUUCUCUUGGGGAUGUGGGUUCCAGGACCUGACACAGCUGUAUCACUUCUCAUCUCUUACAAGUAGUCCUUGCAUUUUUCUAGAGAAAAAAGUUUCUGGAUUGAUGGAAGAGAAAAUGACAAACUUGAGGCUGGUAUAGAUGGAGACUGGCCCUGGCUUUGGAAGACUGUAGCCUGUCCCCGGCCAAUACACCAGAUGUGGCCUUUUCUUGGCAGCCAGUUCUGUACUGUGCUGUGCUGUACUUCACAGGAAGGCUCUUGUCAGCAUUGCGAGUCACUUACAGAACUAAGGCCACACCUGGGUGACCCUGUGCUAGCCUUCAAUCUAGGCUCAAUGUCGUUUGCCCUUUCUGGGCAGGGAAACAGAUGGUCAGAAAGUUGUGGGUUAAAAUUUUUUUUCACAUAUAUAUAUAUUUUUUUAAUUGUUGAAGGAAAUGAAUCAAGAGCAGGGACAGGAGUUUAGGUGGCUAGGUAGAAUAUCUUUAAAGUUCUUCUCCUCUUGUAACUUAGAAAGUUGGAUUGUUUCUAGCUCUUUCCCCUCUUCUGGGUGGCUCACCCUCUCCACCCUUCCAGAUCUAAUGCUGGAUCUCUGCUGGUGGUCUGUGACAAGACAAGUGAUUCAGCCACACUGGUCUCCUUGACAUACUAUCCACAUCUCUUUGGACCCUGCAUCAACUUAUUGCUUCCCUCAGCUGUAGCUUUGGCCACCCCAGGUGGGCCCAUGUGUGAGGUGCCAUAUAAAAGCCAGGUGAGCCUUGCUUCCAACAUUCUCUGCUGUCACCAGAUAUGCUGCUAUAGGAUGCAUUCCUUUCCCUCCAUCACCUGUUGAGAUUGGCCCUAUGUAACCCACAUCUUUGGGGUACUGAAUGCUGCUUUUCUCCUGGCUCAUUUAGUAUGGCAGCUUUUCAGCCAUGGGAUCUGCCAUGGCUGUGAGAGUGGUGCUUAGCUCUGUUUACUUCAUUUCAUGGAGAGGAAGGCUCAUCUGUAGAAACUGGGCUAGGGAGUGAUUGUGGGUGUCCUCAUGGCCUGCUUGCCAUCUCGCAGGAUGAGGGUGGGCUCUGGCUGGCGAGUGGUAUCCAGAGGGACUUCUUCCAAAAGCACAUCAGGGCUCAGGUGGGCAAAGUGACUGCUCAGUCCAGGUGGGAGCAACCUGCUAUUGGGCAGACAUAUACUUUAGCCUCUACCAGAGCCCCAGAGCAUCUUUGCAUUCAGGCCUUUCACCCUGGAUCCAUCUGUCUGGCCCUGUUGUGCUAAACUUUUGGUUCUUAAGUGGUUUGUUAGGGCCCAGCCACUCCUUUCGGAGACUGGUCUUCUUACUCCAUGCUAGGGCAAGCGCACUGCCAGGAACAUUGAGGUUCUUGGGCCCAAAUGCAGUGAUAUCCUUGGGGGUUUGGCCUGGGGUUGGCCUCAAGCCAUCAGGCCCCCAGCCCAACUGCUGUGGUAGGGUCUUCCUGCCUUGUGUUGUAGUGUUCUGGUGGCAGGGCCUGUUAGGCUUGCUUCUCACCCACUCACAAGCAGACAGAGCUCUGACUGGGAAGGAGUGGAGAAGUAAGUAUGAACUGAAGCUCUGGGCUGUUAAGAUGGGGCUCCCUCUUAAGGAAUAGUAGGGUGGUCUGGCUUCACUUCAGCCCUUCCUCAGCUCCAGGACCAGGGUACAGGAGGCAGCCAUGUGUGGUCGUGGGUAGAAAAACUUUCCCCAUCACACGGUUACACACGUGGCAUUCAACACCUGGCUGUAGCUCGCUCUGGUCUGGUGAUGAAAUUAGCUUUUAGAAGUCUAUUUAAAAUAUCCAUAUCUAUUUAUUGUGUUUUCCUGAAUACACAAGUGUAAAUAGCAUAAUUUUGCAGUGCAAAGUCCUUGGCAAUAACUUUAUGUUGUGUGUUAUGUUAAAAAACUUUGGAAACCACAUCUACCAUGGACUGUCUGCCCCACUGGGGCAAUGGUCACAUGUAGAACUGAACUUGACACCGUCAGCGUGGUUGAAGCAGCAGCCUGCAUGUGUGGACUCACCAGUGCCUCGCCCAGAGAUGCCUGGCCUUCACCCAAAGGGACCCUGCUGCCCCGACUUCCACAGGCAGCACCCACACUGUGGCUACUUUGUGCUGAGUAUGUUGGACUCUGCUGUAGACUGAUAACUCUUGUCUGGCUGCUGCAGUUUGUCUGUAAUGCCCUGACAUGUUGCAUUACCCCUCUUUGGAUGAAUAAAAAUAAAUGCUUCUGUGUUAAUGGCAGUGGACUGAACCAUUCUGUGCAGGACCCACCCUGGCGGAACAGAGACUCUGGCUCAAAAGAUUCAAGUGCUGGCCCCUCUCACCUGGCCUGCAAGACCAGCUCAGUACGUCUCACAAGAUCUUCCCUCACAUACAGGAUGAAGGGCUCCUGACAAAGCCAGUGGGACCAGAGCUUAUUUCAUGUUCUUGUCUGUGGUCCUUAAAAUUCUGCUCGUAAGUGAAAAACUUCAAGCUGGCAGCCUGGCUCAGUGAGUGGGAGGUCAAGAGUGCGCCUGGAGCUUUUCACACCCCUCACAGUUAUGUCCUCAGGACCAUCCCAGGGGUUGGCAAGCCUCAGAUGAGAUCAGGAACCCAAGGCUCAGAGAUAAAGGGACUUGCCUAAGAGCAUCAAGCUUCUAGAAGGCAGCAGCAAUGGGACUCCAAACCUGGAGCUCUUGCUUCUGCUCCUGCCAGUGCCUGCUCUGCGGUGCCCCUGCAAGGUUCCUGUAAAUGAGCAGCCCUAGGAAGCAGAGCCCAAGACCAGGGUGAAACUCCUGCCUCUGCCUGCAGACUCAGUUAACAUCUUAUGCACCACGGUGGAGCACCUGGGUUGUGCACUGAGGUUUUCUCCUGUGUCACCACUGCCAGAGAUGAUGAUCACUACUGGGACUCUCGGAGGGACAGAAGCACCAGGUGAACUGGGUCUUCUAACUCAGGAGUGCCCACCCUGAAGAAGAAAGGAAGGGGAGAGUUGAAAGGAAUGAAGUUCUUUUGAAAACCUGAGACCCUGAAGUCAAAAGAAAGGUGAGUGGACCCACAAUUCUCACUGUGGUGACAGGAAGAACUGAGCUGAUUUUUGGUGAUGGUUCCAAACAAUCAAGAGAGAUGACUAACUUAGAAAGGAAUGUCUCCUGACCCUGUAGAUGCUGGAGGAGGCUGCUGGGCCUGCUGAGGACUGGGAGCUCUAGGUUUCAAUCUGAGGGCUCUGCCUCUGACUAGGUGGGUGACUGUGUGUAAGAUAUUUAAUUCAUUUUUGCCUCAGCUUCCUGAUCAGUAAAACAGGCAUCAGGAUAUCCCUUCUACAAUCUGGGCUGUUUGAAGAUUGAGCAAGAAGGUGUAUAUAAAGCACUCAGUGAAAGGCCUAGCACUUGUCAAUGUGUCAGAAUCAUUAGUCAUCGCUCCUUUCUCCUACUUAUUAUGGGGACAGGUGGUAUCACAGGAAGAGGCCUGGCAUUCCAAUUAGAUGGGUCUGAGUUAGACUCAGGUCUGCUUCUUUCUGGGUGCUUCAAGUAUCAAGUUUUAUGACUUAACAAAAAAUUCCCAUCCAUCAAUGGAGCCAAUGUUACUAAACUUAAAAGGCUGAGGCAAGGAGAAGAGGUAUCAGAGUUUAGUGAAGUAUUUAUAAAUAAAUGGUGCCUGGCAGCACAGAUCCUCACUAAAAGGGAACAUCUAUUAUUAUUAUUCAUUUCUGAUGUCAGGUAUAUGACUUAGUUCUUUUGACUACUUUAUCAGGAUAAAGACACCUUGAAAAAGGUUUCACACUGUUCAGGGUCAGGUUUCAAGUGUUAUUACUAGUGUCAUCUACACUCUAAUACAUAAGAUUUCAUAUACUUUUGGUGGAUGUCAAGAACUUCCUGAAGUUCAUGGACUCUACAGUGUCAACAUAUAGAAAGUGAAACCCCAGUAAACACUCAGCAGCCUGAACCUAUCCCUAUCCCUAAGAAACCAACAAGCAGAACAGUAAUUCUAGGAGCCUGGUAAGAAAAUCAAAGGUAGAAGCCAACAGACUACAGCCCAAGGUCAAAUCAAAUCCAUUGCCUAUUUUUAAAAUACCAUUAAUUAAUUAAUUAAUUAAUUUUUUAGUGUGGUGCUGUGGAUCAAGCCCAGUGCCUCAUGCCAGUGGAUCAAGCCCAGUGCCUCGUGCUCUAUCACUUACUUCACUGGCCCCUAUCACGUAUUUCUGUAAAUAAACUUUUACUAGAAAAGAGCCAUGUUGAUUCAUUUCCAUCUUGUUUGUGGCUGCUUUUACACUGAUGUCAUAAUUCUUAGUAGCAACAGAGAUCAUAUGGUCCACAAAACCUUAAAUACUUACAAUCUAUCCCUUUCUAGAAAAAAGUUUUGCUAAGCCUGAACUAAGCCAUGAAUGAGAACCUGUGCUUUAUCCAAGGGAAGCUUGCAAUAUAAGAAAACAGAAAAGCACCCUGCCAGGAAAAACAAUCAUCUCAAAUUUUUCAGGUUAGGAGAAGCAAAGGAGAAGAGAACAGGGGCAGGGUGUAAACUACUGAUUACACAUUGUUCAGGCACUGAACUGUAUUCCAAUCAGCAAUGGUUAUUCAAUUGGUACAAAAUACACCAGAUAACAAAAUCAUUUCUUGUCUUGGGGUUGGGGGAAGUUAUGUGGAUAGCCUCAGAAUCAGUCAAAAGGUCUCUUAAUCCCAUGAUGCCUAGGAGCUGUGUACAGGAAGAGAGGAAUAUGGUGAGGAGGCUUAGGGGACAACCAGGAUACCCUGGGGAAGGAGUGACACACAAUCAACAAGCAAGCUGUUAUCAGAAGCUCUGCAGGUAACUGGAGAUUAAGCAAUGAACUGCAAGGAUUCCAGUCGCUGAAGAGAAGUAUCUCUGUGAUCUUUCCUUUCAGACCUGUCACACUUACAUUAUCCAGGUCCUUCCGCAGAGCAAUCUUGCUAGUCACCAGCUCAUGAGCCAGGUCAUCGUUUUCCUGUUCCAACCUCAUGUUAGCUUCUUGUAGCCGCCUAUUCUCCCGCUGAAGGGCAGAGAGAAACCAGUUAUAGACACAACAAAAUCAAACGGAAACCACAAUUUCUCAGAGCUAAACCUCAAAAUGAAUUUCUGAGUCCUAUGGAAAUAAUAAAGAGAUGUGGCUGGUCCUAAUGUGUCUUCAAAUAAACAAUCUCCUAUUUUCUAUCUCCACAAAUUAAUACUUAACAGAUUCCAGUGACCUUGUCAAGCAGCUAUUUCUUAUUAACUCUGAUGAAAGGCCACUGAAUUGCAACAAACUAGGCAGUUGGUUUAGAGCAAAACAGAUCUUGCUUUCUCAUUUGCAAACUCAAACUGCAACUUGAGUUCAGAAACAGUGGAACUGAAUUUUAAAAAGUAUCUGACAUGAAAAGUGAAAAGUUCUUACGUCAUCUAGCUCAUAAGCAAACAAACCUCAAAUCGCUCAAUGGGGUCUUCUCGUUGGGCCUGCUGUUCUCUCAUGUUGUGAUAUUCUUUUUCAUAUUUUUUCAGCUUCUUCUGACCAAUCUGUAGAAUAAACCACAGCACAAAUUAAGAAGAAUCAGAACAUGGUGAUGUUUCAGUACCUGUGAUGAAGACUAACUCUCCACUCAACCUGGGUGAUUCCAGAUACUACAUAAGUGGUGUUUCCCAUUUUGGAUAUCAUCACAGCAGGAAAAGUGAAACCUAGUAAACGCCCAAACCGUAACAAGAAUUCAACUUUGCAGCCCAGAACCCUGUUGGGGAUAUUUGGUUCCUAAGGUCUUCACUGACAAGUAUUCAAAUAAACACUGUACAGAUGGCCCCUUCAGAGUUCUGGGUUCUAGUUGCCUCUAGUAAUAAUAAUAAUAAUAAAUUACCAUUUUAUUUAGUACAUACAAACAGCGUUGCUAAAUUCUAUAACAAGGAGUUAAAGAAUUAUCCUCAUAUAGGCAGGUAAUUGAGCCAUAUGGAAGUUAUACAACUUGACCAAGGUCACUCAACAAGGGAGUGGCAGAUCUGGAAUUUGAGGCCAGUAUGUUGAACUCCAUUUGAAGUCCAAGCUGCAGCCCCUUCAUUCUCCUUCCACUUGUCCAUCCCUUUUCCUGUCUACCAGCUCCUUCUGUGCUACUUCCAAAAAGGCACAAUACCCUUUGACUUUAAGCACAUCAACCUGUGGGCCACUGCACUGAGAAGCCCUUUUCCCCAACCAACUCUUGUCCUCUUUCUCUCAAGCCUUUUCUUACCAACCACAGGCUUGUAUCUUCCACUCCACAGCUUCACAUCCUCCUUACCUACUGUCUCUCAAUCAGGCUUCUGCUGAGUGCUCAGGAGAAAAGUGGUUCUUUCUCACACCAUCCUAGUGGUCCUACCGCUUCCCUGCUCGAACUUUGCAACUCCUGGAUUUUCAUGCUUCAAUGCGGCAAACACUCCUUUUCCUUCUAGGAAACUUGUCUCUCUUUUUCUAUUUUCUUGGCUCUCCAACUUCCUAUCAGCUUUCCUCUCUUUUUUACUGGUUGGCCCCCUCUCUUUCUCCAGUCCAGAUGCGAUUUUUUUUUCUUUCUGAAUUAUCCAUGUUAACCUAUCAUGAUUUGCAAUUCUCUUUUGUUUGAUUCCCUCUUUUAAACUACUAUCCAUUUCAUAUGGUGUUUUUUAAAUUAUAUUUUUUUAAAAUUAUGAGAUAUAACAAAUAGAAAAGUGAUAACAGGCAUGUAGAGUUUAAAGAAUGACUAUAAAGCCAACAUUUUUCCCUUCUCAAAGCUUCAGUUGUUAGCAACGAACAGCUGAUCUGCUGUUGGCUCCCAGGUCCAGGAACCAGAAGCUAGUCUAGCUCAACUUUUUUUUUUUUUUCCUACAGAUUAAAAACAGAGACUUCAAAGGGGAUGAGAUGGGUCCAGAUUUGCAGCAUGUUCGUGUGGCUUCUCCAGUGCCCUGUUCUGUCCCCAUUUCUGUCAUCUUCAAGCAGCCCAGUGUUCUUACUCCUACUGGCUCUGUGGAUGCCUCUUUAGUUGGAGGCUCACAGGUCUUCCUCAGCUGGAGCUCUCCUCUGAGGACGUGCCUGCUGCAGGAGAGCAGGAGGCCAGGAAGACAGCCCUAUGCUCUGGCUGCAGUCUGGAGAAAGAUGCCUAUCAAACACUUAUGUUCUCGGCGGACACAACAUCUUUGUUGGUAUGUGGUGCUGCUGAGGAUCGAACCCGGGCCGCACGCAUGCUAGGCGAGCGUGCUACCGCUUGAGCCACAUCCCCAGCCCCAAGUCCAAGUCUUUUCGUUAUAUCUUCUUAGAGUAUCAACUGAAUUCCUCUCCACAGUACACAAUUACUUAAGUGUUUACUUAAUAUGCUACUUCUUUUGCUAACUGCUGUACCUCCUCCAGUGCCUAGCUCAAUGCUUGGAACACAGUUGGGACUCAGUAAUCAGAUGUUAAAUAAAUCAAAGGUAAAAGAGUGAAGGCCUUCCUUUCCACCUAGUAAGGGUGCAGUAGAGACACUGACAUUUCCCACUAGUUGAGACAACCACAUACAGUGCUCACUGCUACAUAUUAGCAAUAUGAAAUGUACCUAGCUUCCCAUAUGCAAACUUCACAAAGGCAGGAAUUUCAUUCAUUGUGAAAUUCCUAAUGCCUGUCCUAUAGUAAGCAUGAAGGCACUUAAUGAACAAAGAUAAAGUCUCUACUCUUAGAACUUCCAAGAUUCAGUCAGGUGUAGCAGCCAGGCCUGUAACCCCAGCUAUUCAGGAGGCUUGCAAGUUCAAGCCUGGGAAAUUUAGCCAAACUCUGUCUCAAAAUAAGAAAUAAAAAGGGUUGGGGAUGUAUCUGAGUGGUGGAGCACUUGCCCAGCAUGUGCAGGGCCCUGGAUUCCAUCCCCAGUACUAUAAAUAUACAUGAGUAAAUAGAUUAAUGGAUUGAAGGGGAAAAAAUGCCCAAGAUUCAUUUUUGUCUCUUACUUAUAAAAAAUGACACUAUAACUGAGUUAAGGAAACAAGAAAAGCUGUAGAUUCAGCUUCCGAGCUCUGAGUCACACCCACUGCUAGCUGACUUCUUUCUGAAGGCUUUGGAAGCCAUAGGUUCACACAGAGAUACUUUUGCUCUCAAAUAAAAAUAAAACUUGAAAUUCAAUCCUGUUCUGUUUAAAUGUACCUUCACAGGGAAAAGAACCUUAACAAAUUCCUGGGAGAAGACUGGAUUUGUAAUUUGGGUAAACCAAUUUUAUACCCCAGCGCAAUUAGCCUAGUGGCUCCUAACACUGUUAGAGACAGCACCAAUUUGAAAGUCUCUUCAGCACAUGGCUCUUCCCUUUUUGAACACAGAAGUCAACCUUCCCUCCCUCCCCACAACAAAGUGCUCUACAUCCCAUUUCUGAGGGCUAAUGGGCCCCCUGAGGUCAAUCCAUGGUCCCAGGUUAAGAAACCUUGAAUUAGGAGGUAGAGAUUUGUACAUGCCAGUUUGAUAUUUUGGUGCAAAUUCAGCCUAAAACACCUCUCCUUUGGUCACUCAUGGGUCAUAAAUCUGUCAUAGGAAAUUGACAAUGUGCUCUUAAACUAUAUGCUACUUGUCCUAGGGAAGCUGGUCCCUGUUCAGCCUCUGAAAAAGGUAGUGCCACCAAGGAUGGAAAAAGAAAGUGUCUACUGGUGAGUGUGGGAGAAAGGUGGUACAGUCUGUUCACUUAAGAGCUGAACUAGGGCUGGGCAGGGUGGUGCAUGGAGGCUGAGACAGGAGGAUUGCAGGCUCAAAGCCAGCCUCAGCAAAACUGAGGUGCUAAGCAACUUAGUGAGACCCUGUCUCUAAAUAAAAUAC
Molecule: non-coding RNA, 10625 nt
Organism: Ictidomys tridecemlineatus (thirteen-lined ground squirrel)
Lineage: Eukaryota; Metazoa; Chordata; Mammalia; Rodentia; Sciuridae
Source: RefSeq, a predicted model, not a curated record